UCUUGACAACGCCGGUAUUUGGAACCUUCGUCCAGAGAACCUCAACUCGUGGUAUCUGGGCCAAGAAGUUUAUGUGCAUGUUGUAAACUCAGAGAAAGACAACAAUGUGGUUGUGUAAAUUGCUGACAAAUUUCAGGUGAUGCCACUCUGGAUUUCUCAUAAGCACACUCUUAAAUCUUGCACCACAUUUUGCAGCAGGUUUAAUAUUAAUUGGGUGCAGUCCAGGAGGUAUGAAAUUUAAUUUUGUGGUUCUUAGUUUUCUUAUAAUUCUAUCCAUCAUAUUCAAAAUGGUCGAUCUUUGUUUGGUUGCAGGCACAGCUAGUAACAUUAUAACAUAUCUUUCACGUGGAGAUGUGGCGCUAUCUGUAAUAAUGACAACUGCAAGUACCCUAACUGCCAUGGUUACAGACAAAAGGUGCUUUAAUUUAUUCCCAGAAGCUAGUCGAUGUACAUAAUAGAGUUGGUCAUGCAGGGGAGUACGCGGUC
This is a long non-coding RNA of Glycine soja, 486 nucleotides long. RefSeq lists it as uncharacterized. Lineage: Eukaryota; Viridiplantae; Streptophyta; Magnoliopsida; Fabales; Fabaceae. The transcript is spliced from 3 exons. The record is from RefSeq and is a predicted model, not a curated record.